GUGAACGCUGGCGGUAGGCCUAACACAUGCAAGUCGAACGGCAGCACAGUAAGAGCUUGCUCUUACGGGUGGCGAGUGGCGGACGGGUGAGGAAUACAUCGGAAUCUACUUUUUCGUGGGGGAUAACGUAGGGAAACUUACGCUAAUACCGCAUACGACCUACGGGUGAAAGCAGGGGAUCUUCGGACCUUGCGCGAUUGAAUGAGCCGAUGUCGGAUUAGCUAGUUGGCGGGGUAAAGGCCCACCAAGGCGACGAUCCGUAGCUGGUCUGAGAGGAUGAUCAGCCACACUGGAACUGAGACACGGUCCAGACUCCUACGGGAGGCAGCAGUGGGGAAUAUUGGACAAUGGGCGCAAGCCUGAUCCGGCCAUACCGCGUGGGUGAAGAAGGCCUUCGGGUUGUAAAGCCCUUUUGUUGGGAAAGAAAAGCAGCAGGUUAAUACCCCGCUGUUCUGACGGUACCCAAAGAAUAAGCACCGGCUAACUUCGUG
This 491-nucleotide ribosomal RNA is filed under the name uncultured bacterium. RNAcentral's name for it is "partial 16S ribosomal RNA". It matches the Rfam family "Bacterial small subunit ribosomal RNA", at positions 29 to 507 of the family's 1533-position model. The record is from RNAcentral.